This 65-nucleotide transfer RNA is filed under the name Tillus nitidus. Its description in RNAcentral is "tRNA-Phe". The record is from RNAcentral. Lineage: Eukaryota; Metazoa; Arthropoda; Insecta; Coleoptera; Cleridae.
AUUCAAGUAGCUUAUAUUAAGAGUGUAAUAUUGAAGAUAUUAAGGAAAUAGACUAUUCUUGAAUA